This 468-nucleotide ribosomal RNA is filed under the name uncultured bacterium. RNAcentral describes it as "partial 16S ribosomal RNA". It matches the Rfam family "Bacterial small subunit ribosomal RNA", at positions 28 to 507 of the family's 1533-position model. The record is from RNAcentral.
GACGAACGCUGGCGGUGUGCUUAACGCAUGCAAGUCGAACGGUAAGGCCCUUUCGGGGGUACACGAGUGGCGAACGGGUGAGUAACACGUGAGUAACCUGCCCUCAUCUCUGGGAUAACAGUCGGAAACGGUUGCUAAUACUGGAUAUGAGCUUGCAAGGCAUCUUGUGGGUUGGAAAGAUUUUUUUUGGUUGGGGAUGGACUCGCGGCCUAUCAGCUUGUUGGUGAGGUAGUGGCUCACCAAGGCUUCGACGGGUAGCCGGCCUGAGAGGGCGACCGGCCACAUUGGGACUGAGAUACGGCCCCAACUCCUACGGGAGGCAGCAGUGGGGAAUAUUGCACAAUGGACGGAAGUCUGAUGCAGCAACGCCGCGUGCGGGAUGACGGCCUUCGGGUUGUAAACCGCUUUCAAUUGUGACGAAGCUUUUUUGUGACGGUAGCAGUAGAAGAAGCACCGGCUAACUACGUG